This 390-nucleotide ribosomal RNA is filed under the name Pseudochattonella sp. RNAcentral's name for it is "partial small subunit ribosomal RNA". It matches the Rfam family "Eukaryotic small subunit ribosomal RNA", at positions 587 to 975 of the family's 1831-position model. Lineage: Eukaryota; Dictyochophyceae; Florenciellales. The record is from RNAcentral.
AGCUCCAAUAGCGUAUAUUAAAGUUGUUGCAGUUAAAAAGCUCGUAGUUGGAUUUCUGGCGUCGCCGCCCGGUUGGCCUCGAAAGGGGUAUGUACUGGGGCGCGCGUUGCCAUCCUCGGGGGAAGGCCGUCUGGCAUUAGGUUGUCGGGCGGUCGACGCUCGUCGUUUACUGUGAACAAAUUAGAGUGUUCAAAGCAGGCUUAGGCCGUUGAAUACAUUAGCAUGGAAUAAUGAGAUAGGACUUUGGUGGUCUAUUUUGUUGGUUUGCACGCCGAAGUAAUGAUUAAUAGGGGCGGUUGGGGGUAUUCGUAUUCAAUUGUCAGAGGUGAAAUUCUUGGAUUUAUGGAAGACGAACUACUGCGAAAGCAUUUACCAAGGAUGUUUUCAUUA